This 492-nucleotide ribosomal RNA is filed under the name uncultured bacterium. RNAcentral describes it as "partial 16S ribosomal RNA". It matches the Rfam family "Bacterial small subunit ribosomal RNA", at positions 29 to 507 of the family's 1533-position model. The record is from RNAcentral.
AGUGAACGCUGGCGGUAGGCCUAACACAUGCAAGUCGAACGGCAGCACAGUAAGAGCUUGCUCUUACGGGUGGCGAGUGGCGGACGGGUGAGGAAUACAUCGGAAUCUACUUUUUCGUGGGGGAUAACGUAGGGAAACUUACGCUAAUACCGCAUACGACCUACGGGUGAAAGCAGGGGAUCUUCGGACCUUGCGCGAUUGAAUGAGCCGAUGUCGGAUUAGCUAGUUGGCGGGGUAAAGGCCCACCAAGGCGAGGAACCGUAGCUGGUCUGAGAGGAUGAUCAGCCACACUGGAACUGAGACACGGUCCAGACUCCUACGGGAGGCAGCAGUGGGGAAUAUUGGACAAUGGGCGCAAGCCUGAUCCAGCCAUACCGCGUGGGUGAAGAAGGCCUUCGGGUUGUAAAGCCCUUUUGUUGGGAAAGAAAAGCAGCAUGUUAAUACCCCGCUGUUCUGACGGUACCCAAAGAAUAAGCACCGGCUAACUUCGUG